GAUGAACGCUGGCGGCGUGCCUAAUACAUGCAAGUCGAGCGAACAGACGAGGAGCUUGCUCCUCUGACGUUAGCGGCGGACGGGUGAGUAACACGUGGAUAACCUACCUAUAAGACUGGGAUAACUUCGGGAAACCGGAGCUAAUACCGGAUAAUAUAUUGAACCGCAUGGUUCAAUAGUGAAGGACGGUUUUGCUGUCACUUAUAGAUGGAUCCGCGCCGCAUUAGCUAGAUGGUAAGGUAACGGCUUACCAAGGCAACGAUGCGUGGCCGACCUGAGAGGGUGAUCGGCCACACUGGAACUGAGACACGGUCCAGACUCCUACGGGAGGCAGCAGUAGGGAAUCUUCCGCAAAGGGCGAAAGCCUGACGGAGCAACGCCGCGUGAGUGAUGAAGGUCUUCGGAUCGUAAAACUCUGUUAUUAGGGAAGAACAAAUGUGUAAGUAACUAUGCACGUCUUGACGGUACCUAAUCAGAAAGCCACGGCUAACUACGUG
RNAcentral lists this ribosomal RNA (497 nucleotides) under uncultured bacterium. RNAcentral's name for it is "partial 16S ribosomal RNA". It matches the Rfam family "Bacterial small subunit ribosomal RNA", at positions 28 to 507 of the family's 1533-position model. The record is from RNAcentral.